AGCUGUAUGCCUUCUUUCAUCACCAUGAGCAGCCUGAGCCUGUCGAUGACAUCAAGCAAAGGUCGGAUUUUGUCAUUGUAUGAUGAAAUAAUUGGAGCUUGAGCUGCUGCUGCUCCCACCACAUUAGGUUGUUCCAUAGGAGGAGUUGCUGGUUGAGAAUCUUCAUAAUCAAUGAUAACAUCAAUGCUCCCUGAAUCAGAUUCAUCAUCGCUACCCAUUUUUUAGAAGUCGAGACAGGAGUGGGAAUUGGCCAAACUUGAUGUUUUUUAUGGUUUUUUUGUUGGAAGUUGGAAAGCAAUAAACUUAAACUAAAGUGAAGAAAAAUUCAAUGAAGCAUAUUUGGCUUUAUAAUGAAAAUUAAAAUAGGGUAAAGCACCAAAAAUAGGCACAAUAAAGCGAUAGCAUCCUAUACCAAACCCCAAGAAACAAUCAAAGGAAGCUACAAUGGGAAUGGAAAACUUUAGGUUAUACUUUGAAUUGUAGAAAAUACAUCUUAUAUUCCGUAUUGGAUUGUAGAAAAUAAUGAUACAAGGACAGAAGAGAGGAAACAGAUCAAAAUCAAAUCGUGACCAACCAAAAGAUGAGUGUGUCGAUGACAGAAAGUUCGAAACAUAAACAGCCCCACUAAUUCCUACAGGAACUACACAGCAGAACUAUAUGAAACAAUGUAUUCACAUUGAAGUUUCGGAUAGAUGUCACGUACAAGCCAUGUUGCCAUUAACUCAUAUGCUCUUUGUGUCAAAUGAACUCCAUCCCAACUAAGCCGUUCAUUAGGGUUUUCGCAUACCGGUACUUUUGGAUCUCCGCACCAACUUGAUAAGCCAUAAUUGUAGUCUCCCCCAAUUCCGCAGCAAGCCUUUUGCAAUGAUAUUGGAUCAAAACCUAAUGAGAUUUUUCGAAAACUCAGAACAUGACUAGAACCAUUCACAGUACGGUCUCAUAAACUUAUGGAUGCAAAUAAAUCAGACUUACCAAGCAGAUCAGCUUUGCUCAAAAGCCACAGGAAUGCAUUGUAGUAGUCACCGUAGACAACGGUUUCAUCUGGAUGUUCUUCUUUUAGCUCAGCAAUAGCUUGUUGAAGAAGAUAAUUAUGAUAGAUUGAAAAAUUAUUCAACUCCUUUAAACAAUGAAGUUCAUCAUAAGCAGUAGAAUCAUUUGUUUGGUAUUUGGUGAGAUAUACAGGAAAGCAGCCUAUGGGGAAGUUUCCAGGAACAACUAACCGAGUAGCACCAUAUCCGAUAACUCUCUACACAGUGGAACUUAUGAGAAACAGGGUUUCAAUGAUUAGAAGUGAUAUAAUCAGAUGUCUCUUGAAAGGAAACUUACUUUGGUAGCUUGUUUUAUCGUUUCUACUACCUCGGGCACCAUGGUCUUAACCUCUUCUAUGGUUUUUCCUUGCCAAAAGGCGUAGUUAUAGUCAUUUCCUCCGAUCUCCCCAACCAUGAAAAGAGCUUUUCCAUUUUUCUUGAAGCAAUCUACCAAAUAUAACACCUCAAGUGGUUAUUUGUGUUAAUCCAUUCUGAACAUCGUUAUUAUACCUGAUUACCUAACCAGGAGGCCUCAUUAGACCAACCGCUCCAUCAUGGAGGUCUCGCCUGCAUGAUAGCUCAACCAACUAAAGACACUCAUGUGCCUUGUCACACGAGCCACCACAAGGUCAUAUCAAGAUCCACUCAGGACCUGCUCCUGUCACAUCUAGUACAGGCUCUAUCACUCGACCAUUAAGUCUACAAGAAUAAUCUAUCUUCAACCUCUGCUAGCAGCUCUUGACACUCACGUGUGAGCCACCUUCAACCUCUUCCACCACAUCCUAUAUCAACAAACAUAUAUAUAUAUAUAUAUAGGAAAGAUGCUAACCUUUGUUACCACGACAAGUUGUAUUGAAAUAGCUAAACAUCUAGUCAAGUUGUCUACUUAAAGAUAUGCUGGUAGGCACAAAGGAAACAUUCCACUUGGCUAAAUCUUCUGCAGACAUGGCAGUAGCUCCGGCAAACGCGAAAUUAAGCCCAUAAUCAAAUAAUCCAUCUUUGUUUAAGUAAGGAUCAAGAAAAGGAAUUCCAGCAGAUAGUGCUGUUCAAAUGUUCAAAACACGAAACAGUAAACACACUGGUUAAAAAAAAGUUAAUUAAACCAACAAAAAUCAAUACAAAUAUAAUCAUUAAUCAUCUUCCUAAACCUUUCUAGUAUGGGGUUGACACUUUUUUAGAGAAAAAAGAGAUUGAUUCUUCUCCAAGCAAUGCACCCAACGUGUAUGGUCUCAGUGAAGCUUUUGAUUAGAAUUUAGUAUUUUACCUAUAUAAUCAAUCAUCAACAAACCAUCGGAGCAUCUCCCAGUUGCUUUCUUGAAGGUUUCUCCAUAUGGUAACCUUGCAAAUUUUGAUAAAGGGUUGUCUUGCACAUCAUUACCCGUAUCUGCUAUGGAAUCCCCGAGCUGAUAUAUGGCAUCGAAAUUGCAGCUGCUAAGGAUAUGUUGAUUGUUGCAUGUAACGAAGUUGAAGAAAGAGAUGAUAAUUAGUAUAGAGAACACAAAACCUGGUGGUGAAGAUUUACUAGAAGCCAUAUAUGCAGAAAUGGUAUUACUGGGUAUUUAGCAUCUAAAUCUUAGCUCCCCCUAAAAAGGUAUAUAGUUGUGCUCCUACAGGUAGCUUUGAAUCAGGGACGGCACCAAAGGGGCAGUCAAAGGCCUUAGCACCCCCCAAACGGAAAAUUAUUAUUUUAGUCCCUUGAAAUUUUUUAAAUUAUAAGUUAGGUAAAAAUACACUUUGACCCCACAAGAUGAUUUUUUUUUAAUUUAAUUCUUUUAAGAUUAUAAAUAACAAACAUAUAGAAAGAUAAAAUUAUAUUUUAGCCUUUUUAAAAUUAUAUAAUUUAAUUUUAGCCUCAAAAAUAAAGUCUUGACUUGGUCCUUUCGUAUACCUACUCUUAGACAAAAAAAAAAUCAUUUUAUUUAAGCUUUUUGUUUAUUAAUAAUGAGUUUUUUUUUUCUCAAUGAUUCAUUAAAUACAAUUAAAAAAUAUUUGGAAGAGAAAUCUAGCAGUAGACUAGAUAGUUAAGAUGAUAUCUAACAGAGAGGUCGAUGUACGAGUGUUUGUUGAAGCUCCUAUGUAACUUUUAACAAUUUUACAAACUGAUAGAGGUAAUGGUUUCUUUGAUCAUUUAUUUUUAAUACGAGUAAAGAAACCUAAUUAUUUAAUUAUGGGUAAACUACACAAGGAGUCACCCAACUAUGAAGAGUUAAAAAAAAGACAAUGGUGGUAACUUUUAAAAUUAGCAUAAUAGCAAUUUAACCCUUAACAUUUAUAUAUUGUAUCAAUUUAGUCUUGAUUCUAUUUUUUUUUUAACUCUCAACAUUUACACAUUGUAUAAUUUAGUCUUUCUUUUUGUAAUUUUGUUUUUCUUUGUGACAUUGAGGGUUAAUUUUAAAAGAAAAAGAAAAGAUAAAAAGUAUUAUCUUGGAUUUCUGGGUGCUCCUAUUUUUUUAUAUAUUUUUAAUCAAAUUGAACUGAUAAAUUUAUUUUUAACUUUUUAGUUAAAAGAGUAAAGAAAAACAAAGUUGUACAAAAAAAAAAAUCAAACUACGCAAUGUAUAAAUGUUGAGAGUUAAUUGUUUGAGGAAACAAGAUUAAAUUGACAUAAUUUAUAAAUAUUAAGGGUUAAAGUUGAUAUUAUGCUAAUUUUUAAAAGUUGCCAUUGAUGAUCAGUGACCAAAAAAGACAAAAGCGAAUAAUUUAGUGAUCAUUUUGUAACUUUUCAUAAUUAAAUGACAAAAAAAUUACGUAAUUUAAUCUUUAAUUAUUUGUUUUGGACAUUGAUUAUUUAAUAACUAAUAACAUUCAAUAAUUGACGUUAAAAAAUUGUUUGUAUGAUGAAGUCAUUGUCAUCACCCAAAAGAUGUACAUAUAAAAGGAGUCACAAUCGGCCUCUACCAAAUUGAUUUUAGAAAGUAGACGCUAACUAUUUGAAAUAUAAUUGUUGUAUCUUAAUUUAUAAGUUAUUAUAUUAUUAUAUAAGCAUAAUUUUCUUUUGGUAGAUAAAGAUUAUUUCUUUCUAAAUAAUCUUUCAAAGUUAUUAAAUAAUCGUUGAAUUUUUUUGUAAUUUGGAGUACAAAAUUAAGUGAAUGUUAACGUGUUUGAGGCGAAUCUCGAUGAACAUGUCAUGCAAAUGCAACGCAUAGCUAAAGGAGUAGAUAAGAGCUUUAGACCUCUUAAAUGUCAGUUGUUCAAUUUAGUUCCUUUCUAGCUUUUAUUUAAAUGGAACAAUUGUAAUUUACACCCUUUUCAAAUGUUUAAAUUUAAUUUGGGUUAUUCUAAUGUAAAAAGUUUUAGCUUUGUCCCCUAUUUUUUUAAUUUUAUCUUGGCUCUUCAUCACAUAAUUCAUGACUUCGCCUGAUACUGUGAGACCCAAUGUUAAUAUUUUAAGUAUUCAAAUCUCGGAUCGUUUAUGAACAAAAUUUUGAAAGAAAGAUGAUGGAAUAUUGACCUUGUAGCUGUAUAAGAGCUAGAAAGUAAUAUUAUAAAAAGAUUGGAGAUUAUAAGUUAAACACUUGGAAUUAUCGAAAAGUUGUUGCAGGAAGUUCGGUAGUUUGAUCGCCUUAGCUAACCUUCAAAGAUUCUUCAUCAAUUUAGACACCGAAAUCCCCACACUGUCAGAUUCGCUUUGAAAGAAGAGUAUGUGAAAUCCAUUAUACUCUAGAGCUCUCAAAGGGGCCAUGCAAAGAGGCUUCGAAAGAAAAUUGCAUGAAGUUCCCACAAUGUGUCAUUGGUUUCAUUAUGAUAUUUUAACCUUUAAUCAUUUUAUUUUAUAUAAAAAAAUUUGAACUGAUAAAAAAUUGAUUUCAAAUUAUUUCUAUUUUUAUUUUUCAAUUUUUAGUGUCAUUAUUAAUUUUUGUGUAAUUCAAUUGUUAAAGUAUGUAGUUUGACACAUAAUUAUUGUUGUUAAUUUAGGAUAGCCAUGAAUGGGAUGCAUUGAGUUUGAAAUAUUUUAAGUAAAUUAUCAAAUUUUAUAAUAUUAGUUAAAAUUAAAAGAAUAUAUAUUUACUCCUUUCUUUUUUUCUCUUUGUAUCUUGAUUUGUGGAUUAGGUAACGAAUAUUGGUGUCCAAUUAUGUUAUGAUAAUAUAUACUUUUUUUUAUACAAUUUCUAGAAGUACUUGUAGCCUCUCUUAAGCCAUAAAUAGAAGGAUGAUAUGCUUCAGCGCACAAAAACUUACGUUUUCCUACAUUAGCAAUUGAGUUAAAACUCGAUCGGCAAAAUUUUAAAGAAAACAAAAUAAAUAAAAACUAAUCCCCCAAUUUACCGUCCACAGUAGUUCUGACAUUAUUAUAUGAUCUUCAAAUCUUUAUAAUCUAUACUAUAUAUAUAGAAUACAGACACUUGCAGCAUGUAAUAAAGCAAACCAUGAUGAUGACCUAAAUUUUAUGUGAAAAUAUUAAACCAAGUAAGCAUCAUAAACAACAAUCCUGUCCAUGACCUUGGCCACACUAUCUUUGGACUCCUUUAACACCUUGAUGCUGUUUUUAAGAUUCUCACGCUUUGCAACAAUGGCAGGAGAUUCCACCAGCAUCUUCUCCAUCCCAUGUCCAUCUGGUCCCAUCAGCUCCUUCACAAUCUCAUCAAUGUCAUUGUUUACAAGAUUAUGAACACAGUAUUGUAAAUGCAAUGCCAUGGAAUCAACCAAUCUAACUUUAAAUAUCUUCCAAUAAGCAACUGUUCUCAUCUUCAGAUCGAAAGCUUGUUGCAGGAUCAAAACGUUGGAGUGUUGUCUGAGAUGUUCGACUUGGAUUUUUCCGAAACCUUGGACCUCCCUGAGACCUUGGAUUUCUCUGAAACCUUGGAGAUCCUCAGGGUAAGGUGGCAACAUCAUGUCUGUUCCAGUUAUUUGGUUUAUGAAAUAGUCUUGUUGGUUCAUGAGCUCAUUCCACUCCCUCAUGUAAUCAGGGUUACAUGUAUAGCCUGUUAGUUUCUCCAUUUCUACAAUCUCUUUCACCCUAUUGAUUGAUUGCUCCCUCAGCUUUUGAACAAGAUUGUGAGCGGCUCCUUUCGCCGAUACCUUGAGCUGAUAAUACAUUUCCGAGUGGCGCGUCAAAACAGACGUCACCACAUCGUCUAUGUAAUCCCAAUACUUUUCGGUGAAUUUGAUAGGGAGAUACGAUAUCCUCUCGACUUUUCUCCGGAAGAUACGAAGGAAUGCUUCACAGGGAAGGAAGUUCGGUAGUUCGAUCCUCUUAGCAUCUUCCAAACCCUUGAUCUCUUCUGUUAAAAAGUCUUUCGACAGAUUACUUUCCUCGCAGUUGUGAAGUUCAUCGGAGAACCGGUUCAGCAUUUCCACAAACCGAGCAGUCCCGUGCUUCGUGUUGUCCUCGGGGUAUUCAUCAAAUUCCCCUCUCCAAAGAAGUUUCUUGAGGGAUUCUUUAGCUGCUUGAAUGAUCCACAUCAUAGCUUUAGUUGCAUCAGCAAUUGAAGUUAAGACCUUUGGCAUUUUCUCUAGCUCUGAAACAUUUGCAUCCAGCUUUGCACUAAUGUUUUUAACAAUCUCUGGAGAGCACUUUGCAAUUUCAUUAGCUUGAAUUUGAACAAGCUUUUGAGCCAAAACAUGAACACCCACAAUUGAUUUAUCAAUACAUGACAAAUGUGCAUUAGUUUCGAACAAUCUAGCCUCUUCCUUCCUUGCUUCUUCAUAGGAUUCAUCACCAAUCCGAUUCCGAACACAAACAUAUCCAAGUCCUAUAUUCACAUCAUCUGCAGUAACCUUGUCAACAAGCCCUUCAGGGGCCCUAUCUACUUUAGUAACCACAGCAAGAGUUCUCUCACCAUUCUUGUCCACUUGUUGCGACAUCCGAAUGGAUUCACAAGUUGAAAAAUCGACCGUGGCCGACAGAACAUUAAGGAUAAUGCUUUCCUUUGGUGUUAUGUACUGCAUGAUGAUGUCCCUGAUCUGCUCAUAUAUGUUGUUAGGCUGACCAUGGACAGGAACUCUGGUAAUUCCAGGAAGAUCAACCAUGGUAAGAUCAGGAACCCCAUCUUUUCUCACCACUAAAGUUAAAGGGGUGUCAGAUAUGCUCUUACCCGGGCCCGCAAUCUCAUCAGUUGCGAUGUUUAUGGCUGUUGCAAUCUGGGGUUCCUCCACUGGGACCAUUUUGCCAUUGUACUCCAAGUAAAGCUCUGGCCUUGGACUUGCAUGGUUCUGCAACCUGAUUAUGAGAGGUACCCUGGUGCAAAUUCCCUGGCUACGAGGAAGGUUAACGCCAGCCAAGGAUUCAAGAACACUAGACUUGCCUGAUGACUGGUCUCCGACCACAACAAUUGUGGGGAGCUGUAUGCCUUCUUUCAUCACCAUGAGCAGCCUGAGCCUGUCGAUGACAUCAAGCAAAGGUCGGAUUUUGUCGUUGAAUGAUGAAAUAAUUGGGGCUUGAGCUGCUGCUGCUGUCACCACCCUAGGUUGGUCCAUAGGAGGAGUUGCUGGUUGAGAAUCUUCAUAAUCAUUGAUGAAACCCAUGCUCCCUGAAUCAGCUUCAUCAU
RNAcentral lists this long non-coding RNA (7516 nucleotides) under Gossypium barbadense (sea-island cotton). RNAcentral's name for it is "long non-coding RNA (GBAR_LNC022118)". Lineage: Eukaryota; Viridiplantae; Streptophyta; Magnoliopsida; Malvales; Malvaceae. The record is from RNAcentral.